Molecule: ribosomal RNA, 111 nt
Filed under: Paeniglutamicibacter gangotriensis
Lineage: Bacteria; Bacillati; Actinomycetota; Actinomycetes; Micrococcales; Micrococcaceae
Description: partial 16S ribosomal RNA
Rfam family: Bacterial small subunit ribosomal RNA
Source: RNAcentral
CCUAACCCCUUGUGGGAGGGAGCCGUCGAAGGUGGGACCGGCGAUUGGGACUAAGUCGUAACAAGGUAGCCGUACCGGAAGGUGCGGCUGGAUCACCUCCUUUCUAAGGAG